GAACUAGCUCAGUUGGUAGAGCAUAAUACUCUUAAUCUCAGGGUUAUGGUUUCAAAUCCCAUGUUGGGCA
RNAcentral lists this transfer RNA (70 nucleotides) under Podarcis lilfordi (Lilford's wall lizard). Its description in RNAcentral is "tRNA.Lys". It matches the Rfam family "tRNA". From Rfam's summary of the family: Transfer RNA (tRNA) molecules are approximately 80 nucleotides in length. Their secondary structure includes four short double-helical elements and three loops (D, anti-codon, and T loops). The record is from RNAcentral. Lineage: Eukaryota; Metazoa; Chordata; Lepidosauria; Squamata; Lacertidae.